Molecule: unclassified non-coding RNA, 348 nt
Filed under: soil metagenome
Description: partial contains 5.8S ribosomal RNA, internal transcribed spacer 2, and large subunit ribosomal RNA
Rfam family: 5.8S ribosomal RNA (bases 1-120)
Source: RNAcentral
GAUGAAGAACGUAGCGAAAUGCGAUACGUAAUGUGAAUUGCAGAAUUCAGUGAAUCAUCGAGUCUUUGAACGCACAUUGCGCCCCCUGGUAUUCCGGGGGGCAUGCCUGUCCGAGCGUCAUUGCUGCCCUCAAGCACGGCUUGUGUGUUGGGCCCCCGUCCCCCCCUCCCGGGGGACGGGCCCGAAAGGCAGCGGCGGCACCGCGUCCGGUCCUCGAGCGUAUGGGGCUUUGUCACCCGCUCUGUAGGCCCGGCCGGCGCCUGCCGACCACCAUCAAUCUUUUUUCCAGGUUGACCUCGGAUCAGGUAGGGAUACCCGCUGAACUUAAGCAUAUCAAUAAGCGGAGGA